AGCGAACGCUGGCGGCAGGCCUAACACAUGCAAGUCGAACGAACCUUUCGGGGUUAGUGGCGGACGGGUGAGUACCACGUGGGAACGUGCCUUUAGGUUCGGAAUAACUCAGGGAAACUUGUGCUAAUACCGAAUGUGCCCUUCGGGGGAAAGAUUAAUCGCCUUUAGAGCGGCCCGCGUCUGAUUAGCUAGUUGGUUGAGGUAAUGGCUCACCAAGGCGACGAUCAGUAGCUGGUCUGAGAGGAUGAUCAGCCACAUUGGGACUGAGACACGGCCCAAACUCCUACGGGAGGCAGCAGUGGGGAAUCUUGCGCAAUGGGCGAAAGCCUGACGCAGCCAUGCCGCGUGAAUGAUGAAGGUCUUAGGAUUGUAAAAUUCUUUCACCGGGGACGAUAAUGACGGUACCCGGAGAAGAAGCCCCGGCUAACUUCGUG
RNAcentral lists this ribosomal RNA (434 nucleotides) under uncultured bacterium. RNAcentral's name for it is "partial 16S ribosomal RNA". It matches the Rfam family "Bacterial small subunit ribosomal RNA", at positions 29 to 507 of the family's 1533-position model. The record is from RNAcentral.